CUUCAAAAAAUGGAGUUGGAGGUUCAUGGGAAGAAAUAGGCAUCUCUUUCCUCUUGUCCUGUGUUUUGUUUCCAAUCCAACAUCAAUCAAUUGGGAAUAUUUUCCUGAACUAGAAAAAAGAUGAAAUGUGGAAUUUUUUUUUUUCUUGUUCAUUACUCUCUUUUGAUGGAUGUUCUGAAACUUGGGGAUUAAAUUCUACAUGAGAAUCAUCAAUGGAGAUCCCUAGGAACUACUUGGGAUAUUUUAAUUGAAAUUAUACUGAGUCGGAUGCUUCUUUCUCGUCCCAUUUUCAUUGAAAUAAUUAGUUGGGUUAGAUGAUGUAAGAAUGAUGGAAUCUGAUUGGAAAUUUUCAAAUAGUGGC
RNAcentral lists this unclassified non-coding RNA (361 nucleotides) under Hevea brasiliensis (rubber tree). The record is from RNAcentral. Lineage: Eukaryota; Viridiplantae; Streptophyta; Magnoliopsida; Malpighiales; Euphorbiaceae.